UACGAAGGGAGCUAGCGUUGUUCGGAAUUACUGGGCGUAAAGGGCGCGUAGGCGGUUCGUUAAGUCCUGUGUGAAAUCCCCCGGCUCAACUGGGGAACUGCACAGGAAACUAGCGGGCUUGAGUUCGGGAGAGGGAAGCGGAAUUCCGGGUGUAGCGGUGAAAUGCGUAGAUAUCCGGAGGAACACCGGUGGCGAAGGCGGCUUCCUGGACCGACACUGACGCUGAGGCGCGAAAGCUAGGGGAGCAAACGGG
RNAcentral lists this ribosomal RNA (253 nucleotides) under uncultured bacterium. RNAcentral's name for it is "partial 16S ribosomal RNA". It matches the Rfam family "Bacterial small subunit ribosomal RNA", at positions 524 to 776 of the family's 1533-position model. The record is from RNAcentral.